Molecule: ribosomal RNA, 500 nt
Filed under: uncultured bacterium
Lineage: Bacteria
Description: bacterial SSU rRNA
Rfam family: Bacterial small subunit ribosomal RNA
Source: RNAcentral
GACGAACGCUGGCGGCAUGCCUAAUACAUGCAAGUCGAGCGAAUGAUGAAGAAGCUUGCUUCUUCUGAUUUAGCGGCGGACGGGUGAGUAACACGUGGGCAACCUGCCCUGUAGAUUGGGAUAACUCCGGGAAACCGGGGCUAAUACCAAAUAAUCCAUUUCCUCUCAUGGGGAAAUGUUAAAAGACGGUUUCGGCUGUCACUACAGGAUGGGCCCGCGGCGCAUUAGCUAGUUGGUGAGGUAACGGCUCACCAAGGCGACGAUGCGUAGCCGACCUGAGAGGGUGAUCGGCCACACUGGGACUGAGACACGGCCCAGACUCCUACGGGAGGCAGCAGUAGGGAAUCUUCCACAAUGGACGAAAGUCUGAUGGAGCAAUGCCGCGUGAGUGAAGAAAGGUUUUCGGAUCGUAAAACUCUGUUGUGAGGGAAGAACAAGUACGAGAGUAACUGCUCGUACCUUGACGUACCUCAUUAGAAAGCCACGGCUAACUACGUGCC